AGAGUUUGAUCAUGGCUCAGGACGAACGCUGGCGGCGUGCCUAACACAUGCAAGUCGAACGGGGUCCAACCAGUAGCAAUACUGGGGAAGACCUAGUGGCGAACGGGUGAGUAACACGUGAGGAACCUGCCCCGAAGACCGGGACAAGCCGGGGAAACCUGGUCUAAUACCGGAUAUCUUCACCAGACCGCAUGAUCUGGUGAAGAAAUGGAUUCCGCUUCGGGAGGGUCUCGCGGCCUAUCAGCUUGUUGGUGGGGUAAUGGCCCACCAAGGCUUCGACGGGUAGCUGGUCUGAGAGGACGAUCAGCCACACUGGGACUGAGACACGGCCCAGACUCCUACGGGAGGCAGCAGUGGGGAAUCUUGCGCAAUGGGCGAAAGCCUGACGCAGCAACGCCGCGUGGGGGAUGAAGGCUCUCGGGUUGUAAACCCCUUUCAGCAGGGACGAUUGUGACGGUACCUGCAGAAGAAGCCCCGGCCAACUACGUGCCAGCAGCCGCGGUA
RNAcentral lists this ribosomal RNA (504 nucleotides) under uncultured Actinomycetes bacterium. RNAcentral's name for it is "bacterial SSU rRNA". It matches the Rfam family "Bacterial small subunit ribosomal RNA", at positions 8 to 522 of the family's 1533-position model. Lineage: Bacteria; Bacillati; Actinomycetota; Actinomycetes. The record is from RNAcentral.